GUCAGAAACUCCUCACACACAUUUUUCUGAUAAUGCGAAGUACUCAAGCGAUCGUUUGAGUACUUUUUAUUUAACCUUG
Molecule: small RNA, 79 nt
Filed under: Prochlorococcus marinus str. MIT 9515
Lineage: Bacteria; Bacillati; Cyanobacteriota; Cyanophyceae; Synechococcales; Prochlorococcaceae
Description: Cyanobacterial functional RNA 10
Rfam family: Cyanobacterial functional RNA 10
Source: Rfam by way of RNAcentral